GAGACGGUAUCGCAGGGUCGAGCUGUACUCAUUCAAGCAAGCUGUACAACAGCAAUUUGCUUUUCGGAUUCACCUUCAUAACUGUAUUUCCACGGUUACGUUGGAUUCUGCUCUGAGCCGUAAGGACCGAGACAGAAGG
Paenibacillus sp. FSL H7-0357 is the source of this 139-nucleotide non-coding RNA. The record is from Rfam. NCBI's taxonomy places the organism in Bacteria, Bacillati, Bacillota, Bacilli, Caryophanales, Paenibacillaceae.